This 254-nucleotide ribosomal RNA is filed under the name uncultured bacterium. RNAcentral describes it as "partial 16S ribosomal RNA". It matches the Rfam family "Bacterial small subunit ribosomal RNA", at positions 524 to 776 of the family's 1533-position model. The record is from RNAcentral.
UACGGGGGGAGCAAGCGUUGUUCGGAUUUACUGGGCGUAAAGGGCGCGUAGGCGGCCACCGCAAGUCGACUGUGAAAUCUCCGGGCUUAACCCGGAAAGGUCAGCCGAUACUGCGGGGCUAGAGUGCAGAAGGGGCAACUGGAAUUCUCGGUGUAGCGGUGAAAUGCGUAGAUAUCGAGAGGAACACCUGCGGCGAAGGCGGGUUGCUGGGCUGACACUGACGCUGAGGCGCGAAAGCAUGGGGAGCGAACAGG